GCGGAACCCUGUCUGGUCUUUCUAUGCCAUUCUCUCGCCUUCUGGCAUUAUAUCAGAGAAUGCUGUGCUGCUAUUCAUAAGGUUUUCAUGGCCAAUCUUUCUAGAAGUGCA
Non-coding RNA from Ceratotherium simum simum (southern white rhinoceros), 111 nucleotides. The record is from RefSeq and is a predicted model, not a curated record. Lineage: Eukaryota; Metazoa; Chordata; Mammalia; Perissodactyla; Rhinocerotidae.